Molecule: ribosomal RNA, 429 nt
Filed under: Bacteroidota bacterium
Lineage: Bacteria; Pseudomonadati; Bacteroidota
Description: Bacteroidetes bacterium partial 16S ribosomal RNA
Rfam family: Bacterial small subunit ribosomal RNA
Source: RNAcentral
UAGGGAAUCUUCGGCAAUGGGGGGAACCCUGACCGAGCAACGCCGCGUGAGUGAAGAAGGUUUUCGGAUCGUAAAGCUCUGUUGUUAAGGAAGAACGAGUGUGAGAAUGGAAAGUUCAUGCUGUGACGGUACUUAACCAGAAAGGGACGGCUAACUACGUGCCAGCAGCCGCGGUAAUACGUAGGUCCCGAGCGUUGUCCGGAUUUAUUGGGCGUAAGGCGAGCGCAGGCGGUUAGAAAAGUCUGAAGUGAAAGGCAGUGGCUCAACCAUUGUAGGCUUUGGAAACUGUUUAACGUGAGUGCAGAAGGGGAGAGUGGAAUUCCAUGUGUAGCGGUGAAAUGCGUAGAUAUAUGGAGGAACACCGGUGGCGAAAGCGGCUCUCUGGUCUGUAACUGACGCUGAGGCUCGAAAGCGUGGGGAGCGAACAGG